This 499-nucleotide ribosomal RNA is filed under the name uncultured bacterium. Its description in RNAcentral is "bacterial SSU rRNA". It matches the Rfam family "Bacterial small subunit ribosomal RNA", at positions 418 to 918 of the family's 1533-position model. The record is from RNAcentral.
AGGGGUUGUAAACUGCUUUUGGGAGGGGGAAACUUGGCCACGUGUGGGAAACUGACGGUACUGUAAAAAUAAGGACCGGCUAACUCCGUGCCAGCAGCCGCGGUAAUACGGAGGGUCCAAGCGUUAUCCGGAAUCAUUGGGUUUAAAGGGUCCGUAGGCGGGCAAUUAAGUCAGAGGUGAAAUCCCACAGCUCAACUGUGGAACUGCCUUUGAUACUGGUUGUCUUGAGUUAUAUUGAAGUAGAUAGAAUAUGUAGUGUAGCGGUGAAAUGCAUAGAUAUUACAUAGAAUACCGAUUGCGAAGGCAGUCUACUAACUGUAUACUGACGCUAAUGGACGAAAGCGUGGGGAGCGAACAGGAUUAAAUACCCUGGUAUUCCACGCCGUAAACGAUGGUCACUAGUUGUUGGGGCUUUAUGCUUCAGGGAUUAACAAAAAUUGUUAAGUGACCCCCCUGGGGAGUACAAUCCAAAGAUUGAAACUCAAAGGAUUUGACGGGG